This 483-nucleotide ribosomal RNA is filed under the name uncultured bacterium. RNAcentral describes it as "partial 16S ribosomal RNA". It matches the Rfam family "Bacterial small subunit ribosomal RNA", at positions 28 to 507 of the family's 1533-position model. The record is from RNAcentral.
GGCGAACGCUGGCGGCGUGCUUAACACAUGCAAGUCGAACGCUGAAGCUCAGCUUUUGUUGGGUGGAUGAGUGGCGAACGGGUGAGUAACACGUGAGUAACCUGCCUCCUUCUUUGGGAUAACGCCCGGAAACGGGUGCUAAUACUGGAUAUUCACUGGUCUUCGCAUGGGGGUUGGUGGAAAGGGUUUUUCUGGUGGGGGAUGGGCUCGCGGCCUAUCAGCUGGUUGGUGGGGUGAUGGCCUACCAAGGCUUUGACGGGUAGCCGGCCUGAGAGGGUGACCGGUCACAUUGGGACUGAGAUACGGCCCAGACUACUACGGGAGGCAGCAGUGGGGAAUAUGGCACAAUGGGCGCAAGCCUGAUGCAGCGACGCCGCGUGAGGGAUGGAGGCCUUCGGGUUGUGAACCUCUUUCGCUCAUGGUCAAGCCGCAACAAUGGUUGUGGUGAGGGUAGUGGGUAAAGAAGCGCCGGCUAACUACGUG